ACACAGUAUUUCUCAUCCUGUAUUCUUUCC
RNAcentral lists this non-coding RNA (30 nucleotides) under Mus musculus (house mouse). The record is from RNAcentral. Lineage: Eukaryota; Metazoa; Chordata; Mammalia; Rodentia; Muridae.